Danio rerio (zebrafish) is the source of this 2374-nucleotide long non-coding RNA. The record is from Ensembl. Lineage: Eukaryota; Metazoa; Chordata; Actinopteri; Cypriniformes; Danionidae.
AAAUGUAAUUCACUAGGAAAUUGAAGACUUUUUAGGGAAGUUGGUAGGCUUAGUUCAGGUGGACACAGACUAGCAGCUUGAUAGUUUGUGCUAACACAAAAGUGCUAACUUACCUUAUGUUUCGUCAUCGUGGUGUUCCUUAUCCGUUCAAUUCAGUGAAUUACUCAAAAAAAAAAAAAAAAAAAAAAAACAAACACAACUUUAUAUACAGCUAAAAUAUAAGCCGUCUUGUGGCAUAACUGCUUGCGUUUUAGGAACCUAUGCUCCUAUCUGUUAUUUCAGUCAAACAUUUUCGUCGAUGAUAUGUUUUGAACAAAACGCCAUGCCGCGUUUAAUCACCUGAUUUGCUACACUCGACGUCAGCGUCGCGUCCAGACGGCGCCAUUUUUUUUUUUAUUUUUAAAGGUAACUUGACUGCUAAUGAGGAGAAAAGUGUCAGGAAAGAGAACGGCUCGGCUGACACAUUCAGUGCGCAAGAGUAUCAUAUGGCUUCACAGAAUUGGACUAUCUCUAGUAAUAUCUCAACUAUUUGAAAUACUACCUUAGAGAGAUCUUCUAGAUGUGUGUUGCAGUGGCAUGAAGAUUUCCACAUCAAGGGAGCAGUGGCAGUGAUGGAAUCAAAGGCUCGCCUGUGGCUUUGAACCCUCCUGAUGAAGAGAUGAAAAGGGCCAGGUUUUUUGCUGGAGCUCCUCGCGCUUCUCCACUCCAGUUUCUGUCUGGCCAGUGUGAUUGAUGCCAGAUUCCCUGAAGUUCAUGCUCUCCUAAAAUGCCGAAAUGGCCAGUGGCCCAGCUGGGCUCUCAGAGACGCUUUGCGGGUGUGCAGAGAAGUGAUAGACACACACCAGUGGCUGCAAGUGUUGCAGAACUCGAGAGGAAUGAGAGAACAGGAUAAAAAGUUCUGUUUUUCUGCAUUUCAGCAUCUGUGCAACCAGAAACCUACAUAGAUGAUGCAACCAGAUGGCGAAAUUGCUUAGCUGUCUGUGAAAGAACAAAAAAGUACAAAGGUAAGCACCCUUACUUCAAUUUAUCUCCUGCACAUCGUGUAUUGGGUUACGUGCGUUAGUUUGUGUAAUAAGUAUUCUACUUGUGACCUCUAGAUGCCGCUAAGAGCACAAUGAACAUUUCCUGCUGCAUUUCUGUUACAGUGGCGUUUAUGGAUCAGGGAUUUUUCUCUCUCCCUCUCCCUUCUACUUAGUGCCCUCAUGACAGCGUGAUAAACUACUUAAUAUCGUUUCACAUGGUGUGUUGAUGCAGCUGAUCCUUUUUUACACAAAGUAGCGAGUGAUUGAAACCCGCACUGAAUCGAGACAUUUCGAUGACUCAGUCGUGCCAGCAAUCGAAACUGUCGUGUGAGGUGAUUGUGAAUUUUCGUUUGGAGUCUGUGAGUGAUACACAUGUGUCCUUUCAUAACGUAAUGAAAACGGUAACGUCUUGUGUGCUUUUUAAAUCGUAGUCUUUAUGUUAGUACUCGUUUUUAUUGGUCAUAAAAGUGUAUUGCAGAUACGUGGUGUGAGGAAGCUUGCACCUGCACCAAACACGGAUGCGCGUGCAGCGUGAUGAGGUUGAAAAUGGAAUGGAAAUACUAUAGUGUUAUUUCGUGAGACAUCCCAAAGGCUUUUAUUUAUUUAUUUUCCUGUCUAGAGUCUCAGAGGUAUGCCUCGGUGUUGCCAAAUCACAAAAAAAUAUAUAUAAUCAAGCUAGAGUCACUGUCUUUCAUAACCAUAAAAACAAGGUAGUGGUCUUUUAACUAAAUGAUUGCAAUAGUUAAGUGUUUUGCAUAGUCAAUCAUACAUAUAACUCAGUAGAUAAAUCCCUCGGGUUCACCGAUGUUAGAACUUCGCCUGACUGUUGAUGAAGCACAUUGUGUGUGUAGUAUAAAUACACUGCACACUGCAAUCAGCAAGUUUCCAGUGUUCUUUGACCCCUAUGUUCUUUGACCUAGUGUAUACCAGCAACAGCCAUAAACAUAAUUUACAUUGGCUGUUGCCAAACACGUAGCUACUAUUUAAUACAUAGCACACAGAACUACUUUCCGAGGCCCUGUUUAUUAUUCACCUGGUAUUAAAAUGCAUUUUGGUCUGAAGAGGGCGUUCCUGUUUACACCUGGUGUGAUUUUGGUGUAUCUAAGCAGUUUGCUUGUUUCUGAUUUUUUUUUUUUUUUUUAGUUAAAUUGUUAAAUAAGCUCGUGCAAUUUACGUAAAAAUGCUAGAUAACACCAAAAAAAAAGAACAUUCUAAGAGCUGCUAGGUUUUUUUUAUGUUCUGAUAGCUGUAAAACUAUACCAACUGUUUAUUUUGACAGAAUCAGAACUUUAUAAGAGAUCAUUGUGCUUUUAACAUUGUUUUUCUAAAACCCAAUUCCUUCUGGUUAUCGC